Molecule: long non-coding RNA, 1154 nt
Filed under: Elaeis guineensis (African oil palm)
Lineage: Eukaryota; Viridiplantae; Streptophyta; Magnoliopsida; Arecales; Arecaceae
Description: long non-coding RNA (EGUI_LNC065498)
Source: RNAcentral
CUAUGAAUCCGAGAUUAUCCGAAGCGGUGAAUUUCUACCUACGCAAAAGUAAUGAGAUAUGAUGUCAUAUUUUUCUUAAAUUUUAGAUUAAUUAUUUGUGCUUUCUUCUAGGCUUGGGUAGGUUUAGAUUUGGUAUCUUGCAUGUGGGGUUAAAAGGUUUAAUCUGAUUUUUUUUCAUUGUAUAUUUUCAAAAUUUUAAAAUCUACACAUGCUGCCUACCCUGUUUUCUAUCACCUAUCGCAUCCUUUAUGCGAUUGGCUUAUAGGGCAUAAUUCUUUCACAGGUUGCAUUUAAAAAUUUUUCUAUUCAUCUACAUGAUUAAGGAUCAAAUUCUUACCUAAUUAACAGCAGAACCAGAGAUCAAAUCUCAAAUAAUCUGAUAUAAACCUUCACGGAGGCCUGGAUGUACAGACCUUCUACUUCGAAUGCAUGUCAGACGCCGCAAAAAAGCAGGAUGAACUUCAAUCCAAUUACCUUCGCAACUCAAUCAAUCGGGAGAUGAGAUAUGCUAGUGUGACACCUCACACUAGUAGGUGGGACACCCAAGAUGGUUCCAUGCCCAAGGGAAGAGGGGCGGCAACAAGAGGGGAGGGCAAGGGGGGAGAAGGGACCUCUCUCUUCUCACGCCUCUCUCUCUCUUUCUCUCUUCUCUUGAUCUGAUUUGUUUGCUAUUCAUUCAUAGGUAGAGGCCCUCUCUAUUUAUAGAUAAUUCUCAUAACCCAAUAAGUAUAAGAGUCUUAACUCAAAUCUGAUUUGAAUCAGUCCAAGACUCAUGAAAGAAAGAUUCCUAUAUGAGAUAUAAUUGCCAUCACAUAUAACUACCAAUUUACACCGACUCCCUCACCCACAUGGGAUGCCCCAAAUGAGCAAAGCUCCAGGUGUUGGUCAGCCCAUAAUAAAAAAAAUCUAGUGCAAGUGGGAAUACUCAUAUCUCAUAAAAAAUAAAUCUAAUUCGAAUCAAAUUCGAAGCUGGUUCGAAAUAAUUUUGAAAGGCUGUCAAUCCCAAACUCUUUAGGACUUUUGUAUCAAAUCUAACUUAGAUUUUGAAUCCGAUUAAGAUUAAUUAAUUCAGAUCUAAUCAGAAAUUAAUUAGCACUUAAAUUCAAUCUUUCAUAUGCUCCAUGAAUCAUAGAUCAAAAACUGUUCAUCCUCGG